Small nuclear RNA from Equus asinus (donkey), 105 nucleotides. NCBI's taxonomy places the organism in Eukaryota, Metazoa, Chordata, Mammalia, Perissodactyla, Equidae. The record is from Ensembl.
GUGCCCUUCGGCAGCACAGACACUAAAAUUGGAACGACGCAGAGAAAAUUAGCAUGGCCCCUGGGCAAGAAAGAUACACAAAUUCGUGAAGCGUCCCGCAUUUUU